This 496-nucleotide ribosomal RNA is filed under the name uncultured bacterium. RNAcentral's name for it is "partial 16S ribosomal RNA". It matches the Rfam family "Bacterial small subunit ribosomal RNA", at positions 29 to 507 of the family's 1533-position model. The record is from RNAcentral.
AUGCACGCUGGCGGCGUGCCUAAUCCCUGCAAGUCGAGCGAACGGACGAGAAGCUUGCUUUUCUGAUGUUAGCGGCGGACGAGUGAGUAACACGUGGAUAACCUACCUAUAAGACUGGGAUAACUUCGGGAAACCGGAGCUAAUACCGGAUAAUAUUUUGAACCGCAUGGUUCAAAAGUGAAAGACGGUCUUGCUGUCACUUAUAGAUGGAUCCGCGCUGCAUUAGCUAGUUGGUAAGGUAACGGCUUACCAAGGCAACGAUGCAUAGCCGACCUGAGAGGGUGAUCGGCCACACUGGAACUGAGACACGGUCCAGACUCCUACGGGAGGCAGCAGUAGGGAAUCUUCCGCAAUGGGCGAAAGCCUGACGGAGCAACGCCGCGUGAGUGAUGAAGGUCUUCGGAUCGUAAAACUCUGUUAUUAGGGAAGAACAUAUGUGUAAGUAACUGUGCACAUCUUGACGGUACCUAAUCAGAAAGCCACGGCUAACUACGUG